GGAGCUGUAGCUGCCGGCCACAGCCACAGCAACGUGGGAUCCGAGCCACAUCUGCAACCUACACCACAGCUCAAGGCAACGCCGGAUCGUUAACCCACUGAGCAAGGGCAGGGAUCAAACUCGCAACCUCAUGGUUCCUAGUUGGAUUCGUUAACCACUGCGCCACAACGAGAACUCCGUCUUAAAAAAUUUUAAAGAUUUGCCUUUCACAUUGUCCUUAAUCCAUCUGGAAUUAAUUUAAAUGUGUGGUUCUUGCCAGGGAUCUGAUUUCAUGUUUCCCAUUUAGAGACCAAAUUGUCCCAGCACCAUUUGUCACCUAUUUCUUUUUUUUCCUCUCAGUGGUUUGUCUGUCACUUUGAUGUGUUUCAACUUCCAUAUAGGUGUGGCCUGUUCCUAUGCUCUCUGUUCCAGUGCCUUUAUCUGUCUAUUGGUUUAUACUGAAAGUGCCAAUGCUACACUAAGUUAUUAUUGUGUGAAUGAGUCUAUUGCUAUUCCUCACUGUCCCUUCCUCUUGCAGAGAAAGAUUGUGCUUCCCUGCCACAUUCAUGGUGGGCUUGGACUUGAUUCCACCAAGUAAAUGUUAAUAGAAGUAACAUGUAGCAUGUCUGAACAGAAUCUAUAAAAAUCCAGGUGUGAUUCAAGCAGACCUGACAGCCUGGCAGCUGUGAUGUGCUGCUCCCUCUUGAGAACCUGAGAUGGAGAUGUAUGUGUGGGACAGUGAGAUAUAUGAGUGGGAAAUAAAGUUUGUGCUUUUCAGGUGAUUUUUCAGCUGGGUUUUAUUACAGAAGAUAACCCAGUAGAAUCUGAUAUACACAAGGUUCAAUUACUUAACCUAACAUACACAGAAUGCUAUAGCAAGGCUUGAUAGGUCUGAGUAAAUCACCCACUAAUUUUUCUUAGAGAAAUUGUUGGCCAUUUGCUCAUUCAUGCAAAUUUUAGAAUCAACUCCUAAGUCUCCAUUCCACCAAAACCCUCUUAAUAUUUGUUUAUGAUACCAUCAUAUAUACAGAUAUAUUUUGAGGGAUUUGAAUCAGCAAUCAGACUUCUUAUCAGGGAAUGUCUUCAUUUAUUUGGGUCUUUUUCAAUGCCAUUCAUUUAUAUUUCCCUGUGAAGAUCCCUAUGAAGAUUUCUCUUCUCUUAAUACCUUAUAUUUCUGCUGCUAGUCUAAACGACAUUUUCAAAUAGAGUUUUUAAACAGUUUAUUGGUAUUGUGAAGAAGUGUAUUUACUGGCUGAUAUAUUCACUCAACUUGCUAAGCGCUCUUAUUUUCAAAAAUUAACUGUAAAAUCUGUUGGGUUAGUAUAAAAAUUCAGAAAACAAAAACACAUUGUGCUGACUACUUCUCCAAUGAGCAGAGCUACAAUAGAGGCAUUCUUGAUUUCAAAAAGAAUGCUUCCAACACAUCACCAUUAAGAAUUAUAUUUAUUAUAAACCAAUGGGAUCUAAUCAAGCUGACAAGCUUUUGCACAGCAAAGGAAACCAAAAAGAAAACAAAAAGACAACUUACAGAAUGGGAGAAAAUAGUUUCAAGUGAUGCAACCAACAAGGGCUUAAUCUCUAAAAUAUACAACAGCUUAUACAACUCAACAGCAAAAAAGCCAACAACCCAAUGGAAAAAUGGGCAAUAGACCUGAAUAGACUUGUCUCCAAAGAAGAUAUACAGAUGGCCCACAAGCACAUGAAAAAAUGCUCAACAUCCCUGAUUAUUGGAGAAAUGCAAAUCAGAACUACUAUGAGGUACCACCUCACACCAGUAAGAGUGGCCAUCAUUAAUAAGUCCACAAAUAACAAGUGCUGGAGGGGCUGUGGAGCAAAGGGAACCCUCCCGCAAGAACUACCGUUUGACACAGCAAUCCCACUCUUGGGCAUAUAUCCAGACAAAACUUUCCUUGAAAAAGACACAUGCACCCGCAUGUUCAUUGCAGCACUAGUCACAAUAGCCAAUACAUGGAAACAUCCCAAAUGUCCAUCAACAGAUGAUUGGAUUAGGAAGAUGUGGUAUAUAUAUACAAUAGAAUACUACUCAGCCAUAAAAAGAACAAAAUAAUGCCAUUUGCAGCAACAUGGAUGGAACUAGAGACUCUCAUCCUGAGUGAAGUAAGUCAGAAAGAGAAAGACAAAUACUAUAUGAUAUCACAUAUCUGGAAUCUAAUAUGCGGCACAAAUGAACCUUUCCACAGAAAAAAUCAUGGGCUUAGAGAAUAGACUUGUGGUUGCCAAGGGGGAAGGGGUGGGAAUGGGAUGGAUUGGAAGCUUGAGGAUAAUGGAUGCAAACUAUUGCUUUUGGAAUGGAUUAGCAAUGAGAUCCUGCUGUGUAGCACUGGGAACUAUGUCUAGUCACUUAUGAUGGAGCAUGAGAAUGUGAGAAAAAAGAAUCUAUACAUAUAUGUGAAACUGGGUCACCAUGCUGUACAGUAGAAAACUGACAGAACACUGUAAACCAAGUAUAACGGAAAAAAUAAAAAUCAUUAUACAUAUUAAAAAAAGAAUAUUUAUUGGUCAUUGGGCACCUGCUGUAUAACACAGGCAACUCUACCCAAUAUUUUGUAAUAACCUAUAAAGGAAAAGAAUCUGGGGAAAAAAAGGGUAUGUGUAUAUGUAUUAACUGAUUCAUUUUGUUGUUCAGGAGGGAACCCACAUCACAGUAGCGACCCAAACCACUGCAGUGACAACACUGGAUCCUUAACUCACUGUGCCACAAGAGAACUCCAUGAAUGAGUGUGGAAUUUUAUCUAAAUUUUUUCUGUAUAAUUUUUGAGAAAUAUAUAUUUAUCUCCAACUGAAUUAAUACAGCUGAAAUAAUAUUAACAAAUAUUAAUAUUUGUAAAUAGGCCCAAAUUGGCCAUGAUAAUUUUUUAAAGUAUUGCUGGAUUAAGUUUAGUAUUAGUUUAGAUUUUUUUGGCCUAUGAUCAAUUUCCUAUUUUUGUGCUGUUCUUAUCUGGAUUUGAUAUUAGGUAAGACCAGCUUCAUAAAAUGCACAAGGGAGUAUUACAUUGUCUUUGGAAAGACUUUGAACAUGAUCACACUAAUCUGCUUCUUGAACAUUUGGUAUAUCUCCUAUACUUGGUGUUUUCUUUGUAUGAAGUCUUUAAAUUACUGGAUACAAUAUAUUUAAUAUUUACUUAAUGCUAUGGACUGAAUUGUGCCCCUCCUUCCAAAUUAAUAUAAUCCUAAUGUGACUGCAUUUGGAUGUUGGGCCUUUACAGAGGUGAUUAGGUUAAAUGAGGUCAUAAGGAUUGGACCCUAAUCCUAUAGAUCUGGUGUCCUCAUAAGAAAAGUCACCAUGGCUAUCUUCCCACACAGUCACAAUGAAUGCCCAGUAGAGGACACAGAGGGAAGGGAGCCAUAUGCAAUCCAGGAAGAAGCCUCAAUAGAAACCAACCCUGCUGACACCUCAAUGUUGGUCAUUGUUUCUUGAAAUCUUCUCCUUUCAUCUGGGUUCAGCUUCCCUCCUUCUGAAACACAUUCUUUAGUAGUUCUUUCACCAAGGUUGUGAAGGUUUCAACUUAGGCUUUGUACCUCUGAAAAUAUCUGUUUUGUGCUCACUCUUGCAUAAUAGUUCAGUUAAAUACAAAAUUCUAAGUAGACAGAUUAUUAUCGAGGCCCUAGAAGUUCUAUAAUUUCACUAUGUGAACAGCACAUUAGGGAUUUGAUUUCUCACAUUCAUAUUCAUUAAUGGGCUCUCCUCAUAGAAGAAAAGUUUGCUUUGGGGACCAUUAUCCAGAGCUUUAAUGUCUAUUCUGAAUCUCAUCUUUUGCACCUCAGACUCAUCAUAAUUUUGUUCCUUUACAAUCUUAUCUGUGUGAAGAUGCUCCCUAACCUUGAGGAAAAGCACAGAGCUUUAUCACCUUGUAUCCCCACACUCUCUCCCCUCAAGGGCAUCCAGAACAUUUACUGAGUUAAGGAAGAAAGGAAGGAACAGGGACUCAGUUCCUCUAGGAGUCUCUCUUCCCCUCUUUAAUCUGCUAAACUGAAUGGGAGCCAUUCUCCUGGCUGCCACUGCAAUAACUCCUGAGACUCCAUGUCCAUCUCCCCUCAUCCUCCUUACAGGGGAAAGUCCUACGUGGGCCAAGCCCUGGCCUGAAUGUAGCCACUCAGAAGGCAUUCCCUCCCGUCGCCACCCUUCAGGCCCUGGCCUGUCCCAGCCUCCAUGGGCAGGUAAAUUCCCUGACACCUUCGCAUUCUGUGAAGUCACAGAACUCACCAUUACUUGGCACAAUGCUGCCAUUUCAGAACUUAGGAGGGCCAGGAAAGGCAAAGAGGCCGAGGCUCUGCUCCAGCGAAGUCUGGGAGACUCUCAGGGCGCCACAAAGAUGGAGCUCCCGCGGCGCUCAGCCUGGACGGGGAGGAAAGUCCUGGGAGCUGGGCAACGCACGGAGGAUCCGCAGCUGCAAGGCACGGACCAUCUGAGGAAUCUGGCUGUCGCCCGGGUCCCACUGACCCAAAAAGGAAGAAGUCGCGGCGCAGGGGGCGAGUGAACAGCGGCAAGUGCAGCCUCCGCUGUGGCCCAGACGCCACCUCCAAAGGCAGCGGCGGCUGAGCGCACUGUGGAGCGGCCCGAGUCAGGGCACCCUCCUCGGUCCCUCAGCUGGGAGGCGCCGAGCGAGGCCGGAGCCAGUGGGACGCAGGGCCUGGGUCUUCCGAGCUGAGUUCGUGGGAGGGCCAGGCUCCGCCGAGAGGCCGCGAAACCGGCGCUCGGCCUCGCG
Molecule: long non-coding RNA, 4706 nt
Filed under: Sus scrofa (pig)
Lineage: Eukaryota; Metazoa; Chordata; Mammalia; Artiodactyla; Suidae
Description: lncRNA (ENSSSCG00005031766.1)
Source: RNAcentral